AUACGUAGGGUGCGAGCGUUGUCCGGAAUUACUGGGCGUAAAGAGCUCGUAGGUGGUUUGUCGCGUCGUCUGUGAAAUUCCGGGGCUUAACUCCGGGCGUGCAGGCGAUACGGGCAUAACUUGAGUACUGUAGGGGAGACUGGAAUUCCUGGUGUAGCGGUGAAAUGCGCAGAUAUCAGGAGGAACACCGGUGGCGAAGGGGGGUCUCUGGGCAGUAACUGAGGCUGAGGAGCGAAAGCAUGGGUAGCGAACAGGAUUAGAUACCCGGGUAGUCCAUGCCGUAAACGGGGGGCGCUAGGUGUAGGGGUCUUCCACGACUUCUGUGCCGUAGCUAACGCAUUAAGCGCCCCGCCUGGGGAGUACGGCCGCAAGGCUAAAACUCAAAGGAAUUGACGGGG
This 398-nucleotide ribosomal RNA is filed under the name uncultured bacterium. RNAcentral describes it as "partial 16S ribosomal RNA". It matches the Rfam family "Bacterial small subunit ribosomal RNA", at positions 523 to 918 of the family's 1533-position model. The record is from RNAcentral.